This 31-nucleotide non-coding RNA is filed under the name Mus musculus (house mouse). The record is from RNAcentral. Lineage: Eukaryota; Metazoa; Chordata; Mammalia; Rodentia; Muridae.
UCAUCCUGUGCCCAAAGUAAGCAUCCUUUUC